AAACCAUGGUGAGGGCAUUGAGUAGUGUAGCCCUUCAAGCGUUCCCAAGCUUCAGAAAAUGAUUCAGAAUGCCUCUGUGUGAAACCCGAGAUUUCAUUCCUCAAUCU
RNAcentral lists this small nucleolar RNA (107 nucleotides) under Arabidopsis thaliana (thale cress). Its description in RNAcentral is "Plant small nucleolar RNA R71". It matches the Rfam family "Plant small nucleolar RNA R71". From Rfam's summary of the family: R71 is a member of the C/D box family of snoRNAs containing the C (UGAUGA) and D (CUGA) box motifs. Multiple nearly identical copies of this snoRNA have been identified in Arabidopsis, and it is thought to function as a 2'-O-ribose methylation guide for 18S ribosomal RNA. Lineage: Eukaryota; Viridiplantae; Streptophyta; Magnoliopsida; Brassicales; Brassicaceae. The record is from Rfam by way of RNAcentral.